RNAcentral lists this ribosomal RNA (464 nucleotides) under uncultured bacterium. Its description in RNAcentral is "partial 16S ribosomal RNA". It matches the Rfam family "Bacterial small subunit ribosomal RNA", at positions 339 to 795 of the family's 1533-position model. The record is from RNAcentral.
CUACGGGUCGCAGCAGUGGGGAAUAUUGCACAAUGGGCGCAAGCCUGAUGCAGCCAUGCCGCGUGUAUGAAGAAGGCCUUCGGGUUGUAAAGUACUUUCAGCGGGGAGGAAGGGAGUAAAGUUAAUACCUUUGCUCAUUGACGUUACCCGCAGAAGAAGCACCGGCUAACUCCGUGCCAGCAGCCGCGGUAAUACGGAGGGUGCAAGCGUUAAUCGGAAUUACUGGGCGUAAAGCGCACGCAGGCGGUUUGUUAAGUCAGAUGUGAAAUCCCCGGGCUCAACCUGGGAACGGCAUCUGAUACUGGCAAGCUUGAGUCUCGUAGAGGGGGGUAGAAUUCCAGGUGUAGCGGUGAAAUGCGUAGAGAUCUGGAGGAAUACCGGUGGCGAAGGCGGCCCCCUGGACGAAGACUGACGCUCAGGUGCGAAAGCGUGGGGAGCAAACAGGAUUAGAUACCCUUGUAGUC